Molecule: non-coding RNA, 615 nt
Organism: Trichomonas vaginalis G3
Lineage: Eukaryota; Parabasalia; Trichomonadida; Trichomonadidae
Source: Rfam
ACACCAGGGGUGGAGCCUGUGGCUUAAUUUGAAUCAACACGGGGAAACUUACCAGGACCAGAUGUUUUUUAUGACUGACAGGCUUCGGGUCUUUCAGGAUAUUGUUUUUGGUGGUGCAUGGCCGUUGGUGGUGCGUGGGUUGACCUGUCUAGCGUUGAUUCAGCUAACGAGCGAGAUUAUCGCCAAUUAUUUACUUUGCCGAAGUCCUUCGGUUAAAGUUCUAAUUGGGACUCCCUGCGAUUUUAGCAGGUGGAAGAGGGUAGCAAUAACAGGUCCGUGAUGCCCUUUAGAUGCUCUGGGCUGCACGCGUGCUACAAUGUUAGGAUCAAUAGGACUGCGAGCCUGAGAGGGUGCGCUACUCUUAUAAUCCCUAACGUAGUUGGGAUUGACGUUUGUAAUCAGCGUCAUGAACCAGGAAUCCCUUGUAAAUGUGUGUCAACAACGCACGUUGAAUACGUCCCUGCCCUUUGUACACACCGCCCGUCGCUCCUACCGAUUGGAUGACUCGGUGAAAUCACCGGAUGCUUACGAGCAGAAAGUGAUUAAAUCACGUUAUCUAGAGGAAGGAGAAGUCGUAACAAGGUAACGGUAGGUGAACCUGCCGUUGGAUCAGUU